Molecule: ribosomal RNA, 247 nt
Filed under: uncultured bacterium
Lineage: Bacteria
Description: partial 16S ribosomal RNA
Rfam family: Bacterial small subunit ribosomal RNA
Source: RNAcentral
GAUCCUGGCUCAGGAUAAACGCUAGCGGCAGGCCUAACACAUGCAAGUCGAGGGGCAGCAGGGAAGUAGCUUGCUACUUCUUGCUGGCGACCGGCGCACGGGUGCGUAACGCGUAUGCAACCUACCUUUAACAGGGGGAUAAUCCGAAGAAAUUUGGUCUAAUACCCCAUAAUAUUGAUUAAGGCAUCUUGAUCUAGUUGAAAGUUCCGACGGUUAACGAUGGGCAUGCGUUGUAUUAGCUAGUUGG